Molecule: small nucleolar RNA, 138 nt
Organism: Tachyglossus aculeatus (Australian echidna)
Lineage: Eukaryota; Metazoa; Chordata; Mammalia; Monotremata; Tachyglossidae
Source: RefSeq, a predicted model, not a curated record
CCCUUCUCAGAAUGGCAUCUGGAGAGUUUCCAGUCCUCUAUCAGUCUCGGAUGAGAGAGGGAGAGUCAAGCAGGGGCCUGCCCAUUCCAUUCCUAGCUUGGCCAGUGGCUAGCGAGUGGAAGGCCAUCGGCUACAUGU